UCUCCGUUGGUGAGCCAGCGGAGGGAUCAUUACAGAGUUGCAAAACUCCCAAACCAUCGUGAACGUUACCUAUCCCGUUGCUUCGGCGGGCGGCCCGGGCCCCGCGCCCGGCGCCCCCCGGCCCCCCGUGGGCGCCCGCCGGAGGUAAACCAAACCCUUGAAUUGCAUGGCCUCUCUGAGUCUUCUGUACUGAAUAAGUCAAAACUUUCAACAACGGAUCUCUUGGUUCUG
RNAcentral lists this unclassified non-coding RNA (231 nucleotides) under plant metagenome. RNAcentral describes it as "partial contains small subunit ribosomal RNA, internal transcribed spacer 1, and 5.8S ribosomal RNA". The record is from RNAcentral.